This is a small nuclear RNA of Mustela putorius furo (domestic ferret), 102 nucleotides long. NCBI's taxonomy places the organism in Eukaryota, Metazoa, Chordata, Mammalia, Carnivora, Mustelidae. The record is from Ensembl.
UCGCUUUGGCAGCACAUAUACUAAAAUUGGAACGAUACAGAGAAGAUUAGCAUGGCCCCUGUGAAGGAUGACAUGCAAAUUCGUGAAGUGUUCCAUGUUAUA